UCUUGAACCACAUCUACCACGAGUUCUCUUGCAGGGCUUGUAGUACCCCCGCACCAGGCUGUCCCCCGUUCUGCACCCACCGCAGCCACCCGGGCAGCGACAUGGGGACGCACAGGUGCCAAUGGCUUUGGAGGACGACGUAGUGGUCACGUUCUCAGGCCAGGACUGGAGAGAGAGAGUUUGAAUUUUGUACUAUCACAGGCUUCCUAUGGGAGCCCCUGUUCUCUCCCAAAUAAAGCACGUGGUGCUUCAGGUUCGGUCUCUGUGAAAACAAGGCAAUUUGUAGUUUUUCAUAUUGAUUCAGCGCAAAAGUGAAAAAUUCUGGCCUUUAAAAGUUAUAUUGUCUCAAGGAUUUUAUUACUAUUGAGUUAGUAACCUGAGGUAAGAGCCGGCCUCUCUUCCGGCUGAGGUUCCAGCUGGAUUUUGGAGGUCAGCCACAGCCGAAUGCCCAGCGAGCGCCUUUGUGUUCCUGUGAAACGAGAACAAGACCUCAUUUACCCCCCCCGCCAGGAAAAGGAGACUUCAUUUAUUCAUGUCCACAACGAGCUUGGAAGAGGCAAAGUGCUUCUUUGCUUCAGCACGUUAACAUUGUUAAUCACUAACAAAUAUUAUCGUUUUUCCAGGCUUUAAACUCUGCUCUGCUGAUAAGGCACAGCAUUUCAAAGCAGCCAGGCCACCUUCUGCUCCGGGGUGGGUCCUGCUCCCAUGGUGAUGCUGUGGUAGAUACAGGUCACCUCACCCAAUCUCGUGAUCCAAACAGGUUUGGAUCAGCAAAAUGCACCUUCGCUUUCACUUUCUGAUAAGAGCGGUGAAGUUUGCAGCUCCCAGAGAAUCAGAGGGAGGAUUCUGCCAUGGCACAUUGGAGAUGACCACUGCCUGUUUCAGCUUCCUUGGAAGAGGGGAGGUCACCUUCUGAAACAAACACCAUUCCUUUGCAUUUAGCUCCCUGAGACUCUCUGGGACCCACCAAGCAGCUGUUUACGGCCUCUUCAUUUUUUUUCCUUCUCACCUGGUCAGACCGGCCAGACUCGGAGGAGAGGCGGGUAUCACGCGGAAGCAUUUCUGGUUCGGUAUCUAGGAAGAAAACUGAAAAGGACUGUGGAAGAGAAUGAAAAGAAGACGUGCCUGCAAGUAGAGAAGAAUAAAUCAGCCCAUGUCUGCGGACUGCUGCUCUCCAAAGAGCUUCCGAACACACCUCGGGAAGGGAUCUAGGGGAACAGGCACUGCGCUCGCAGGACGCACCCUGCUCCAUGCACCGGCAGCGCAUCACAGGUGGGAAACUUCACCCAGCAGCACUGGGAAAAACGCAGGGAGUGCGGGCAAGGUCCACAAAACAGGAUGAGGACGUGUAAGUUUCCUCCAAGGAAAAAGAUGUAGAAGGGAAAAAUAUAAUCCAGAGUAAGGAUUUGUAAGCGUUGUCCUACAAGGACUGUCCUGGGAGAAGAGUGGUUGUGGGUGAUGGGUAGGCAGCUGCACAGGCAGCUCCACUCCCUUCCUGCCCCGUUCCUCCCUCUAGUGCUUGUUCGUUUACCUGUUGGGGCAUUAAAGACUCAUCAUAGCUAUAAACUCCCGCAGAGCUCUCCUUAAUCACCAACUAAGAACACUACACAAGUCGCUGAUGCCUGUAUUUUAAAAGCCAUUAUUGGGCCGGUAGUAAUACUAUUACUGCAUUAGCGAACUCCUUCAGCGAUGUCGUUUUAAUCACCUUAGUGUAUAAUGUGGACCUGGUUCUCCUGGUGUACCAAGGGCUGUCCCUCCAACAUAGCCCUCUCUUGGGGUGCGCGGCUUGGAGCCAGCGACUAAUGGUUUCUUCUUCUGGUGUCUGCAAGCCUGGAUGCCUUUCUGAUACUGCCAUCGCGGUCAAACACAGAUGACCGGGCUCAGCGCAGGGAGGAAGGAGGUGAAAUGGAGUGGCCUGUGAUAUACAGAGAAUCGCAGCUGCUCUCCGAGCCCAGCCUGGCUUUCCGCUCCGUGGGUCUGUGUCGCCUGCCACCCAGCCCCAGCUGCCCCUUCCCAAGGCGGGAGGUAAUGAGAAGGGACUAACCGCAUUGAUUCAUUAAGCCGGGUUUGUUAGAAGACAGAUUGUCAUGUUAAACAAAUAUAUUUUUAAAAAACUAAAUAUCGUUCCCUGGGCCGUGCCCCAUCUGGGCCAUUAAAUCUGAAAGGGGUAACUACAGCUGUGUCAAAGCGGGGCUCAGAAGCUGAUUUUCGCUAUUUGUACUACUAGCAAUUGGCAAUAACUCCGUUUUCAAACAUCGUUUUCUUCUCCUCGUUUCCCAGCGCUGCACUAUGUAGAUGGCAAGCACGGCAGGGGGAUGCACAAUGCUAAACAAAACAGUCUUUGCGACUUACAAAAAGAGACCCCACAAACGCAUUUUCUAAAUCCAUCACAUCCUCUUUAUUUCUCACCAGCCCCUAAGUUACCUGAUGACAGAGGAUGGGAAAAGCUGCCCAUCGUUAGCCAGAUGGCUUUUCGUAAAUUAUGCAAAUUUUAUCAAUCUAGUGAAAAGGUGGUAUGGAAACGAAGCGGGACAGCUCCGCUUUCAGGGCUCUAGCGCCACAAGUUUCCGACUUGCGAGAAAGCAAGCAUCUUCUUCUAGGGGAGGGGAGAAAAAACAACAACUUUGAGUUAAUCCAGCGUUUCUUUCGAUUGGCCCCUUGGUAGUCUGAUUAAUUUUGAGUGCAGAUGUUUAGACUUUCCCUCGCAGAACACACCCAGUGCUUGGGAGCAGGCUCACCCUGCCGUAUUUCCUCCUUGCCACACCGUUCGUGUUACGGUUGUGCAGCAACAUAUGCUAAGGCCUUAUUACAAGGGAUUCCUAUAAAUGGCAUAAAGGAUUAAUAAUGUAUUUAUAACACAACUUUGUUUUAGUAUAAAGUGAUCUAUAAAUUUGUAAUAAAUGUUUUAUAAUGUUUUUGUAGCCUGUUAUAAAUGAUAAAUGGGAGACUAUAGAUGCCACAUCAAAUAUUCAUGCUGCAUUGUGUGCAUUAUUAUGCCGUUACUGUUCAGGAAACCAUUAAUAAUAAAGUGAAUGGAGAUGUAAAAGUUGCUGACAUGCCCAGCAAGCCAUUUAUAAUGAAAUGUAUAAUCCUUACCAUAAAGUAAAUACAUUGGCCAGUGAUUGUUGAUGAAAUGGAAACACACUGAAUUAUUUGUGAGGUAUUUAUAUAUUAAUGUAUAUUAUCCAUAUCAUGCCAUAGA
This is a long non-coding RNA of Chroicocephalus ridibundus (black-headed gull), 3202 nucleotides long. RefSeq lists it as uncharacterized. The record is from RefSeq and is a predicted model, not a curated record. NCBI's taxonomy places the organism in Eukaryota, Metazoa, Chordata, Aves, Charadriiformes, Laridae. The transcript has 3 exons.